Molecule: ribosomal RNA, 512 nt
Filed under: uncultured bacterium
Lineage: Bacteria
Description: bacterial SSU rRNA
Rfam family: Bacterial small subunit ribosomal RNA
Source: RNAcentral
GACGAACGCUGGCGGUGUGCUUAACACAUGCAAGUGGAGCGACGAACCAGGGCUUGCCCUGGGGCAGAGCCGCGAACGGGUGAGUAACACGUGGGUAACGUACCCCGAUGACCGGGACAACCCGAGGAAACUCGGGCUAAUACCGGAUGUGUCCGCCUCUCAUGAGAGAGACGUGCAAAGGAAGCUUCGGCCUCCGCAUCGGGAGCGGCCCGCGGCCCAUUAGCUUGUUGGUGGGGUAACGGCCUACCAAGGCUGCGAUGGGUAGCUGGUCUGAGAGGACGAUCAGCCACACUGGGACUGAGACACGGCCCAGACUCCUACGGGAGGCAGCAGUGGGGAAUCUUGCGCAAUGCGCGAAAGCGUGACGCAGCAACACCGCGUGAGGGAAGACGGCCUUCGGGUUGUAAACCUCUUUCAGGAGGGACGAAGGACGGCCGGUGAAUAGCCGUGUCGUCUGACGGUACCUCCAGAAGAAGCUCCGGCUAACUACGUGCCAGCAGCCGCCGUAAAAC